This 35-nucleotide non-coding RNA is filed under the name unclassified sequences. RNAcentral's name for it is "DUF805b RNA". It matches the Rfam family "DUF805b RNA". Rfam says of the family: Bacteroidetes, Chlorobi (1 example), Proteobacteria. The record is from RNAcentral.
CUGGUGUAACCCGAAAAACCACAAAAGAGUAGGGA